GGGUCAUUAGCUCAGUUGGUAGAGCAGUGGACUUUUAAUCCAUUGGUCGUAGGUUCAAAUCCUACAUGACCCACCA
This 76-nucleotide transfer RNA is filed under the name Gammaproteobacteria bacterium. RNAcentral describes it as "tRNA-Lys". It matches the Rfam family "tRNA". From Rfam's summary of the family: Transfer RNA (tRNA) molecules are approximately 80 nucleotides in length. Lineage: Bacteria; Pseudomonadati; Pseudomonadota; Gammaproteobacteria. RNAcentral also lists the same sequence under 1 other name. The record is from RNAcentral.